AGACUUUCCUCUUCACUUCUUCUUCACCACAUUGACACCUUCCUGAACCAACCUCCAUCUCCAUCUCCAUCACCACAUCGACCACCGCCCUCCAUCAUCGUCCUCAACCCCAAACGCCGUCGCACCCCGCCACCCACUCCGUCGCACACAUCCGCCUCCAUCUCCAUCACCACUUCCCCGUCGCUGGUUCCGACCACCACGGCCUCACCCGUCUUCUCCAACCACACCGGAACCAUCACGCACCACCGUUCGCCCUCACCUUCGCCUCCGGUCUCCGACAUCAGUUCCAAAUAAUUUACACAACCACAAAUUCACUCAGUUUAACGAAGCUUCCAAUUCGUGAUUUUGCUUUACUGAUUCCGUUUUAUUCAGGAUUUGUGUGUGUUUUGAAUUGAUUCGACGGUCAUUUGGGUGUAUGUUCUAUAUGAAUUUCCGCUUAUGCUGUGGGUUUUGGACGUCGCCGGGUAGCUGAUCAAGUUUGAGAUUGACGUUACGAUACAGGAGACGCACUUCAUUACAUGUAUUUCAGGAAAUUAGUGGAUCGGGCGGAGUAUGCGUUGUGUCAAGGCUGCGUAGUGAAUAAAGAUGUCAUCCGAGUCGUCGAGUUUAGGAGGUGGAUCCCUUUCCUGGACGGGAUACACAAUUCUAAACUUGGGUUUUUAUUUACGUGCUUUUGAUGACUCAUUGUGAACUCUGCUAAUCAUGUCAUGGUUGUAACUUACUUUAUGUGUCAACAUUUUCAAUCAAUGUCGUUGUGGUAUUUUUAACUUAAU
Molecule: long non-coding RNA, 773 nt
Filed under: Helianthus annuus (common sunflower)
Lineage: Eukaryota; Viridiplantae; Streptophyta; Magnoliopsida; Asterales; Asteraceae
Source: RNAcentral